This 4217-nucleotide long non-coding RNA is filed under the name Marmota monax (woodchuck). Lineage: Eukaryota; Metazoa; Chordata; Mammalia; Rodentia; Sciuridae. The record is from RNAcentral.
AGAGUUAGGUUGAUUAUUCUCUAAUGUUUAAAAAUGAUCCUGAUACUAGGAAGGGACAAUCCUGAAGAAUUUAAACAUAAUCACACAUGAAUUUCAUCUCAUGAUCAAAUCUUGUUGAUUACUAAUGGAAAAAUGCUGAAGCAUUAUUUGGUAUCUUGUUUGGGGCAUCAGUGUCUGCUCUAGAUGCAGGAAAGGGGAAGAAAGGAGCCAGGCAGCAGGAAUUCCAUCUGGGUAUUCACUCCCUCCUCACCAAGAUACAUUUCUGAAAAGAAAUUGUGUUCUAGGAAGGGAAGCAGAGUUUUCCAGCAGAUAAAGAGAAUGAGAGUACAGCUCUAUGACUCUAGUUUGGAUUUUUCUUUUAGUAAACUGGGGCUAGAAAAGAUCUAGCCACCGCCUAUAAAAGAGCAACUCCAUUACCAAGUAUUAGUCUUAGUUAGCCAUUAAUUAGCAAGGACAGAGAGAUAGAUAAUGCUCUCUGGAAUUAAAAUAUGGGAAAUCACAAAGAAAUUACAUAAAUAAUUGUUGAGCCAUUUCAUGCUAAAUAAUUAUAUAUAUAUAUGUAAUAUAUAAUAUUAUAUAUAUACAAAUAUAUAUGUCCCAUUCAGUCAAAAGUACAAAAAGGCUUAUUCUCCUUUUGUUGGAAGGAAGUCAGCAUCCACAUAGAUGUUGGGAAUUAUGGCUAUAAUAUACCUUAUUGCUUUUAGUCUUUUAAUAUGUUCUUCACUUGAUCAUUACAAUUUUUCUCAGUCCACUCAUUUAAUAAGUACUUAAUGAGCACUUACUAUGAUCUAGUCAUUGUAGUAGGAUAUUGGGAAAUAGCUGUGAGCAAGACAGACAUGAUCACUCCCUUCUUGGAGCUUAUAAUUCAAGAAGGAAAAGUUUUAAAGACCCCUUCAGGUGGUCAGAGAAGCAAGUGGUAAAAGAAAACAAAAAGUCUGAUUUUCUUUGUCAGUAUAAUACCUCUGAUUUUAUUUCAAUUACAUGUAAUCCAUGGCCCUAGGUUCUUUUAAAUUUAAAACUGCCUUAUGCACUUCUGAUUAACAGGUGUAGUUCUGAGUGUGGUGGUGAGCCCCGGGGCAGGACAAAAGCCUGCAUACCUCCUGAUUCUGAAUGCCAAGGAUUUGAGUGAAGUUGCCAGGGCUGAAGUGGAGAUUAACAUCCCUGUUACCUUUCACGGACUGUUCAAAAAAUCCUGAGCAUAUUCUAGCAAGAUGUGUUUAUGGUGACAAAACUAAGAAAACUAGCUUCAGUUCUGCAAUCAAAUUUGUUCAAUUUUAGCCUGCUAUAUGUUGUGUUUUUAACUUGCACAUGCACAUAAUUUUUCAAUGUCUUAUAGAAGAUUUCUGACCAAUCUCUUUUUAAAAAAGUAUUUUCUUGAUAAAAUAGACCAUAGCUGAAAAAUUCUUUUAAUAUUUAGCAAUCAAAUAAGACAUUAAUGUGGACUUAUUAAACUGAUUUUUGUUCCUAUAUAAAAGAUAAUUUUAGCUAUCUGCUCUAAUGUUGUUUUUUUAACAUUUAAAACCCAAAGUCUUCUACAUACCUUAUUUGUAUGUAGCUUUGCUGAGUCAAGGCAAAAAGGCUUAAUUACUAAAGUCAAACCAAACUUUCCAGGGACUAUCAUUUAAGAGUACAUAGCAAUUGCUUUGCAUAAAUGUAACUGCUUAAAGAUCCUUAAUGAACUUUAAUCUCUGUGUUCAAUUUUUUUUCAAUUCCAUGCUUAAUUCCAUUAAAUAUUGGCAGUUGCUACCACUUCUGAUUUUGCAAUGAAAAAACAUAUGUCUCAGUGACUGCAACCUCUCAAUCAAAUAACAUCUCAGAGAUUAAGUUAUAUAUUUCAAGCUUAUUUAUGUCAACACAAAUACAUUUAGUAGUGACUAAUUUUUUUAAAUCAGCAUAAAAUACAAAUAUCAAGUUAAAAUCUGAGUGUGGGAUAAUAUUGAGGGAUAUAUUAUGUUGCCUCUUCUUUUUCAUUAUAUUUAAGCACUGUGCAAUCAUCUGAUGGAAGGCAGAGAAAAAAAUUAACUAACUUUCAAGUUUUAACACAUUUUAAGCACUUUGUACUUAAGCACUUUGUAUUGCUCUCUUCUGUGCUAUAGAUCACAAGAAAAAAUAGAUAGUGGCAGGCAAAUUAUAUUCUAUAUCUUAAUCCUUGUAUCUAUUUUAUGCCCACAAGCAUUACAUAUUAUCAUAUUUAAAAUGAUCAGCAUCAUGCUUGACUAGGUAAAAAAAUAGCUUGAAGGAACAGAUUUACCAGGGCACUUCAGUCAUCCACUUGAUUUCUUUAUUUAGAUAAGAUGAAAACUCAUUUUUUUAAUUUUAAAUACCUAUUGAAAUAUACUUCUGAAAGCAAAUCUAAAUAUAGAAAUAAAAUUUAUAAAGUAAAAUUGCAUAGUGCUCCUCUAAAUUCAGUUACUAUUAAGAUUUGAGUUCUGGUCUUUUCAUCUUUUUAUCCCUACAGAUUUUUAAUAUAAUUAUUAUUUGUCUGUGGAUAAUUUAGAAAGAAAUAAAAAUAUCAAAAAAAGAAAAGGGAAAAUGCCAGAGAAUUAUGUAGAGCAUUCACGGUAAAUAAACAUCAAUCCAGUGCUUUGUGCCCCUAGACAGCACAUGAAUAGAAUUUCACAAAGAAAGGUAUUUCUCUAUUUAUUUAAAAAUGCAAAAAAUAAAUACUAAAAAAUUGCUAAGUUUUAGACUUCAAGUCUGAAUUUAAGAGAAUUCCUAAAACUGUCACUUACUUCACUUGCCAAUCACUCACUCCUUGGCUUUUUCCCAUUCAUUCUCCAUGAAGCAAGAGUCACAAUUCAGGGUAUCCACAUCUCCCCCUAUAGUAAGAUCCCCUUCUGAGAUGACUACAGUAUGAAGGAGGGACAGAGGCAGAUUUGACUAAAGUAUCAUUCUAUCAAGAGCAUUUCACUAAAGUUGGAAUUCUCCAUCACCAUCGUUGCUAAUAUUGUAGCAAGAGAGCUUAGGAUCUGCUUUAUAAAUCCAAAGAUGGAAUGUGAGCUUUAAAAACUUCAAUCAGAAUGAGGAAGAUUUAAGUCAAGCAGAAAAGGUUAACUUAUAAAUUCAAACUGAAUAAAUUAAGGAAACUUCUUUCAAAGAAAAUGCCAUCCAUCUGGGUGAUUGAGAGAACUAUGUCCCAUAUAAAAACAAAUAAAUCUGUUUUAAGGGAAAAAAGUUCAACUGAAUUAAUGUAAAUCAACCUGCUAAUAAAUAACUAUUUUUAAAAUAACAAGCUAUUUAGAGUCUUAUAGCUAAGGGGAAAAAGAAUAAAACUUUGGCAUAAUUAAUCAAAAGGUAAUUUAACUGAUAACUACCUCAUGGCAAACAAUAUAGACAGAGUCUCUGUACUAUGUUCUAAAGGAGAAAAUACCAACUGACAUCAAAGGGAAACUAUCUUCCAAAAACUCUGUGUCAGUAUGACUUCAUCAGCCCACAGUCCAGUUUAAGAAUAAAAUGUUUUCUUCUUUCAGCCUGAGAGGAAGAGUGUAGGCACAUCCCCCAAGGAACACCAGAUCUGCUAAAUCUCUGUCUCAAUGGGAAAAUAAACUCCGAAAAACAGGAUAAAAGAAGCUCACACUACUGUGUACUAAGCACUUUUGUUCUUAUUGCUACAUUCAACAUGGUGCUGUCUUCACUAUUUUAAAGAUGAGACAGAGCUGGGUAUGGUGGUUCACACCUGUAAUCCUAGUGACUCUGAAGGCUGAAGCAGGAGGAUCAUAAGUUCAAAGCCAGCCUCAACAACUUAGCGAAACCCUAAGCAACUUAGUGAGACUCUGUCUCAAAAUAAAAAAUAAAAAGGGUUGUGAAUGUGGCUUAGUGGUUAAAGUGGUUAAGCAUCCCUGAGGUUUAAUCCCCAGUUAAAAAAAAUGAGAAAGAAAUGCCAAGUUACUUUCCUAAAGAGUAAUAAAACUUAGACUGAACUGUAUGUUGAAAUGAAAAGCUUUCUGCCUGAAAAUUUGGUUUCUGAUGCCACUGAAAUAUUCCUAAUAAUUUCAAUUUUCUCUUCAAAUAAAACCAUGAUCAUUCUACUAAGUAAUCAAGUCUGAGCAUAAAUAAAAUUUGUGAUGAUUUGCUAACUCCUACCAGUUAUUAUUGGUUCAAAAUAUUUCUUGAAAAAAUAGUUACCAUGUUCCAAGUACUUAUUAUGCUUGGGAUUCCACCAUUUCAUCUCUAUAGAGCCCUCCCUGUGUGUGGGCUUGGUAAUCCUAUUUUGCAGA